ACAGGGAUUGCCCUAGUAACGGCGAGUGAAGCGGCAACAGCUCAAAUUUGAAAUCUGGCCCUCGGGUCCGAGUUGUAAUUUGUAGAGGAUGCUUUUGGUGAGGUACCUUCCGAGUUCCCUGGAACGGGACGCCAUAGAGGGUGAGAGCCCCGUCUGGUUGGAUACCGAUCCUCUGUAAAGCUCCUUCGACGAGUCGAGUAGUUUGGGAAUGCUGCUCUAAAUGGGAGGUAUAUGUCUUCUAAAGCUAAAUAUUGGCCAGAGACCGAUAGCGCACAAGUAGAGUGAUCGAAAGAUGAAAAGCACUUUGAAAAGAGAGUUAAAAAGUACGUGAAAUUGUUGAAAGGGAAGCGCUUAUGACCAGACUUGGACUUGGUUGAUCAUCCUGGGUUCUCCCUGGUGCACUCUUCCAGUUCAGGCCAGCAUCAGUUCGCUGCGGGGGAUAAAAGUUUUGGGAAUGUGGCUCCCUCGGGAGUGUUAUAGCCCAUUGCAUAAUACCCUGCUCCGGACUGAGGUUCGCGCAUCUGCAAGGAUGCUGGCGUAAUGGUCAUCAGCGACCCGUCUUGAAACACGGACCAAGGAGUCGUCUUCGUAUGCGAGUGUUCGGGUGUUAAACCCCUACGCGUAAUGAAAGUGAACGCAGGUGAGAGCUUCGGCGCAUCAUCGACCGAUCCUGAUGUUCUCGGAUGGAUUUGAGUAAGAGCAUACGGGGCCGGACCCGAAAGAAGGUGAACUAUGCCUGUAUAGGGUGAAGCCAGAGGAAACUCUGGUGGAGGCUCGCAGCGGUUCUGACGUGCAAAUCGAUCGUCAAAUAUGGGCAUGGG
RNAcentral lists this ribosomal RNA (821 nucleotides) under Calonectria californiensis. Its description in RNAcentral is "partial large subunit ribosomal RNA". It matches the Rfam family "Eukaryotic large subunit ribosomal RNA", at positions 68 to 921 of the family's 3401-position model. The record is from RNAcentral. Lineage: Eukaryota; Fungi; Ascomycota; Sordariomycetes; Hypocreales; Nectriaceae.